CCGGCACCGCCUCGUGCCCGCAGCCCGCAGGUGGUGGGCGCAGCUCCUGCAGCUGCGGCAUCGCGGCGGAGGGCUCGCGCGUUCCGACCGCCGCUGAGGCAGCGCGUGGGCGCGCGACCAACGGCCGUAACGGUCGUUCCGGUUAUUCAAACAGCGCUCGGCCGCCGGAGCGUUUGCGCCUUCCGGCUAUAGAGGGAUCUCCGCAGAGAGGGACGGAGGGUCGUCGCCUCAUCCUCGAGCCUGAGGGGCAGAGGGUAGACCAAGCUCAGCUCUAACUGUAAACAUACUGUACAGGGUACCAAAGGAACAAAGCCUGGCUAACUGAAGGCUAUGAUGGGAUAUAAAGAAAACCCACAAGUAAAACUGCUUCUUGAUGAAAUGCUGAAAACAAAUCCAAAAAAAUUCUGGACGUUAUUUGGAAUAAAUGGAACAAUCUGUUGAUUCCUUGAGUUGAAGCUCUCCCUGGAAAUGAAAUAGGGUUGAAAUUUCUGACUGCAUUAAAUCACUGAGGCUCAAGUCACAGUACAUUUCAGUAGAAGCCAAUGCCGGGAUUUUACUGAAGCUGGUAAGGAGAAGAGGUCUCAUAAGAUUUACCUAACUCAUGCAGUGGGACAUGGAGCUGCUGCUGUGAAAUUCAAAGAACUUGAAGGUAUCAAAACAGACAGAUGGCUACCAGUGGGUUUAGUAUUUGAUAUCAAGCACAGUUCUGAUGAAUUCUGAUGAGUGACUUGGGAAGUGCCAGAUGAUGGAAGAUGAAUAUCAGAUAGCCUGAAUAAAAGAACACAAGAACUUCAUUAUGCUGUUUUCUGAAAUACAGGAAGCAAGAGGUUAAAGGAGGAUGGAGAAACAAAUAGGAAGAAUGCUCAGCGUUUACUACUUAUGAAGCAGUAUCAUGUUGUGGUAAUUCAGGCAUUUGUCUAAUAAGUCUCUAGAAAUAACCUCCGAACAAUUCAGAUAGCAGCAGCCAUUACAGGCUGUUCACAAGCUGCUGAUAUAACUGUGGAGACACGUCUAGUAAAAGUCACCUGGGAUCAAACUAAAAUGAGUGACGGUGGAGCUGCUUCCAUAUCACAUCUUCUUCCAGUACAGAACUUUUCAGGAACAGAAUGUAACACUGCUCCAAAGUCUUGGCAUGCCAGUGUUGCCUUUGUGUAUUUGAAGUAUUUCCACUGGUCUUCGGAGUCCUGUCAUCCACCAAUGUGGAAUCCACAACUCAGAGCUGUGACUAUCCUUUGGAAGGAACAGACAUGACAACCAUCGUCUUAACUGCACUGUGUCAGAGGAACCAUGAGUUUGGCAGCAAUCCAUACCCAGUGCAUGGAGGACCUUCAGAUGAAUUUUUUCUGCUACAGUUUAACUUGCCACGUUUAAUUUGCAAGUAUCAAGGGCUGCUCUCAAGCCAUUCUUCACUCAACCUGUAUCUGUGCUUGAGAUUGCUCUGACUGAGGUGCAGGACCUUGCACUUGACCUUGCUGAAUUUCAUGAAGGUGGAAAGGGCUCACCUCUCAAGCCUGACAAGGUCCCUCUGGUUAGUAUCCCUCCUCUCUAGUAUGUCAACUGCACCACUCAGCUUGGUGUCAUCGGCAAACUUGAUGUAAUAACUAACAUUACUCUCUACUGUUUCAUUCCCACUCCAUUUCUUUAAUUGUGGUUGCUAAGGCAAAUGUAUGCAAUUAAAUGAGCAACUGAAGACAACUCCAAUCAAAAUGCAAUUUAGGUCUGCUCCCAUCUGCAGAUUCUUUGGCAGGGAUCUGGCCACAGUUAUGUAAUAGCAGGGACCAGUAGUUUUGUUGCUAACAUUAUGUAAUUGUAGGAUUUUCAGUGAUGUAUAAGAGUUAAAGGCCUAAUCCCCAUUGGCUUUUGCCAAUUUUUUUCCAGUACCCCCUUGACAAUUCUCCUCAUGCCCUUUGAGAUCUUCCUUCCUGCAAAUAGAAACUGUGUCUUUUCCCUUGUUAUCUCAUUUGCAGUUUAAUAUUGUUACUUAAACUUCUAAAACAGGUCAUGCUUAGUAAAGUGUGAAAAUUGUAUCUGGCAAGCAAGAUGGGAAGCAAAUGAGAGUUCUGUUCAACAACUCUGACCACAUGCAUUUCAUCUUCUGCCUUUAUCUCCGGCCUGUCUUUUCUGAAUCAACAUAUUCAUUUUUUUGUUACCUAAAAGCAAAAAAAAAUCUUUUACAGUAUUGUCACAUUGUGAACAUCACAGGCCAGAUGUAUAUUCGUGUCUAAUCUGUUAUUCUUUCCUGGUUUUCAAAUAAAUCUGCUGAUUGCACUGAGGUGAGAAAAAUGCAGUACGUGAAAAAUAGACAAAAAUAAAAUGUAUGCUUAUUUGUAAAUUGCAAAGACAAUGGAUAGGGAUCCUGCCAAAACCAAUCACACACAGCAGGUUAUUAUGCUCCUAAUAAAAUCAAAGACAUUCUUAGUGUUGCCAUGAGUGGAAAGUGACUUAACAGUUUUGUAAUGAUCCUGUAUGAGCAUCUGAAGUAAGUAGGAAUCUUACCACUGUUUCAAUAUGAUUUUGUUGAGGCUACUGCUGGGAAGGAAAAAAUGAUCUUACAUCCUAAAAUGAGGUCGAUUAAUAAACAAUGGUAUCAUUCUCAUAAUACAGGGGUAUUUUUUGUUGUUGUUUUUUUUUUCUGCUGUUGUUUAAGCAAUUACAUCUCAGCUUUAAAGAGCUUUUUUAAAGUGAUAGAUCCAUGAAGAGACACCUACACAGAGGAAGUAAUGACCCCACAUUACAAUGAAGGGUGAAGUAUGGUGCCAUUCAAGUAAGUAAAAAAUCAUUUUGCUUUCUGAGAAAACAAGAUUUCAUCUUUUGUGUAAAUUGGAGACAAGAAAAGUUGUCAGGAUAUCUGGUUUUAGCUUUAAAAAUUAAAAUAUUAGUUAACCUGCCUUUAAGGCAGCAUGUAUGGAUGAGCUAACAGAGCAAGGGAUUAUCAGUAACAGUAUCAGUAACAUGCCAAGGGCCAUGGAUCUCAAUAAUUUCAUGGGGACAGCCUCUGGCUUCCUGAGCAGAGGAUCUCAGAUGUGUCAUGGUGUCAAAAUGAUCUUUAAUAGAUACAUUCAUCAGUCAAUUUCACUGUGACUGAAACUGAAUCACAUGAACCACAGGAUUUAAGGAAUAGUCUUCAGGGUGAUUUCUGUAUGCACAGAAGUCCCCCAUGAAUAUCCAAAAACAGUUUAAAAGUAGAGAAAGCUCAUAUAGAUCAGAAACCAAAAUGUUUCUAAAGGUUACUUAAUGUUAUCAUCCUUAAUUUCCUUGCACAAACUGAAAGUCAUAAGGAAAGUCAUUACACACACUUAAUAUUUUUAGCAGAUCAGCUUCAAGUUUCUGUUAAGGCAAGUACAUCUGUGUUAGCAUUUUCUUUUAUUACAAACUUAUUCCUAUGUAGAAAUUAACUACUGACUGAAUUUCUUUGGUUAAAUUCAAUCUUAGAAUAAUUUAAAGAUAAUGUUGAUUUAAGUGAAAUGAAGUCUUAAAUUAGUUAAUUCAAAUUUAUUUCUUCAGUAGCAAAUAUUUGUCUAAUAGCUCCAUAAAAAGAUCAGGACAUAGGUAUGUUAUAUGUUUAGGACACUUACUGGGUUAAAUGAGAAUCCUGUAAAUGAGUGACUGUUAGUUUUAGGCUCUUUCAUACUUUAUAAGCCACGAAGAACAACUUUAAAAAGUCAAGAAAGAAAAAUUAUUUGAAAAAUGCCUACCAAUAGGGCAGCACAAAUAGGGCCAUGGAUGAUGUAGAGCAGAUGAGUAUCAGAGCUGAUCCAACAGCUAAAGUGAGAAAAGAAAAACAUUUGGUAUUUUGUUAUCUGUUCUAUUCCUUUUUCUUCUCCAUAAACUAAAUAUUAUUGUUUUGCAAAGCAAUUUGAGAUACUACUUACUUGUCAUUAUAAUACAAGCUUCUAGCAACAGCGUGUAUGGAGGCAGGGAUCAGUGGAAAACCUGUGAAUAGAAAACAUUUUCUUAAUAUGUAAACUGGUUAGCUAAUAAGUAAAUAGCAAAACAAACCUGCAUUUUUUGCAGAGAUCCUUCACCUCAUCCAAAUUAUUUAUAAGUGCAGAGCAAAAAAAGGAUCAGUCCAGUUUCUAUUUUCACAGAUUAAUUCUAGAGGGGUGUACGAAACUUUAUUUUCACUCUCCUAUCAGAAAAUCCAUAUCAAUGUACAGAAAAAGGGCAAAUCAAAAUUUAUCAUUAUUUACAAUGUAACAAUCAAUAUUAACACGGAUUGUUUUCAGACUGCAAUCUGCAGUAACGCUAAUUGCUAAGUAAUGUAAGUAUUUAUAUACAGUUACAGACAUAUAUAUAACACUAUGAUUAAUAACAUUAAUUGUGUUCCUCCUGGUGUUUUCUGCGUAUCCAUAAAGCAAUACUCCUCGCAAAAAUAAAUAAAUAAAUAAAAUUAACAGUCUGGAUACCUGGCACGUACAAUGUUUAAAAGAAUAAAUAUUUAUUUGGGGUGAUUCAUAUCCUGGUGAUACCCAUUUUUUGGAAACCAAUGAGUAGGUUAGCUCUCAGCCUCACCUCAACUGUGCCCAUUGUGGUACAGCCAGUGACACAGGCACCAAGUCAUGCCAUAGCUGAACGUGCCCAUACAAUAAGCCAAGAAAAAGUCCUCACUCACACUUUGUGUAUUUGCUGUUCUACAGUAUCUGAAACCAUCAGGUUUGGCUUGUUAGUUCUAAUGUGGAUAUUACUUCAGAUCGUUAGCUACAGCUACUCUGUAUUUGCAGAGUGAACAAUACAGCUGCUGGAGCUGCUGGAAAAAUAAGUUCUUAGCCAUCUCUAAUUCAGUUUUGACCCUCCACCCUAGACAUGGCAAGACUUCUAUGAAAACAAACAUUCGUUCCUGAAUAAACAUCUUCAGAUGAGGAAAAAUGAAUAAUUACUUCUUAAUGUCUUUUUAUAAUAAGAGACUAUUUUCUCUGUACAAAGGAGGAGUCACUUCCUGACAACAGAAACACAAUCUCUCUUUCGGCAAAGAUAGAGGUACAUUCAACUUCCUACAUUAAUAUUUCUAGGCCUGUUAAAAGAGAACAGACAAAGAAGAAGGGCAUGUUGUUAUUGUUCAAAAUCCACCACCUCAGAGAAGAAACAGGACAGCUGUUCAAUUGCUCAUGAAAAGGAGUUAAAGAUAGCAUUGGCCUGAAAAUACAGUGAAAUUGCAUAUGAAUAUGUGAAAUUGCAUACCCCAGCCAAGAAGGUAAUACCACAUCAAGUGCUGUUUGUCAGCAAAAACGGCCACCACAAUAAGAGUAUGCAGGUGAAUGCCUUCACACAGCAUCCAGAAGUAGUUGCAACCCAUUAGGUACUGGUAGAUAAACAUCGCCACUUUGCAGCUAAUCUGUAGAAAAGAAAGCACAGUACAAAAUAAAUUCUUAAGUUGCAAAAAUCUCAGAGAAAUACUUGGAAAAAGUAUUUAUUUUUAUAGAAUUAAAAUUCCAUAUUUUAUAGCCAGUCUAUUUUUACUAAGCAAACAUAAGAAGCAAACAUCCUAAAGCAUGAUGGCAGGAAGCAGUAAUGAUAAUAUUUCCCUUUGUCACAAAUAGUGACACAUUUGAUCAUUCCAGUUAAAAUGGAGUCCUCAAAUUAGCAGAUGCAUGAAAAAACACCCUUUGAAGAAGCUAAUUCUCUGGGACCUUCAAGAUCAUGUAAUUCCAACCCCCCUGCCAUGGGUAAGAUUGCCAACCACCAGAUCAGGCUGCCCAGGGC
RNAcentral lists this long non-coding RNA (5700 nucleotides) under Gallus gallus (chicken). Lineage: Eukaryota; Metazoa; Chordata; Aves; Galliformes; Phasianidae. The record is from RNAcentral.